This 1453-nucleotide long non-coding RNA is filed under the name Nicotiana tabacum (common tobacco). Its description in RNAcentral is "long non-coding RNA (NTAB_LNC000477)". The record is from RNAcentral. Lineage: Eukaryota; Viridiplantae; Streptophyta; Magnoliopsida; Solanales; Solanaceae.
AUAUAUAAUCAUAUAACUCACUUUAUUCAUCUCAUAAUCUCUGCAUUUUGCAAGGAGAUCGAAACUGAGCAAAACAUACGUACACAAAGACAGAGAAAUAAAAUAUAGGGUACAAACAAUAUCAAUAGCUUAGACAACAUGAAGCUACAAAAGAACUUCGCCUCCUGUGGGGCUUAUUAUUUACUCUUUUUUUUCUUCUUCUUUUCUCAUUGCCUCUCGAAAUUGGGAAAAGCCUUUUCUUUUAGCUCAACAUUAUGCUUUUCCUGCAUAAGAAUAUACAUUGUGUGCUUAGGUUCUUAGUAAUAUCAAAAGAAACUGAAAAUUCUGAACAGCUAAUAACUGAUAAAUGAAGCUAAGAAAACAAGAAGCAGAGAGCGCAGUUCUUUAUAUUAUAUUAAUGUUUUGCAUGAACACAGUUAUAUAUGCAAUUUGCUUUGCAUUCUUGACAUAUCAUUUGGAAAAUGUCUUAAUUAAUUUGGCUUAAUUACCUUCAACUUCGUGAUGUUACUUCUUAGUAGUGGUAGGGAGGAGGAGGAGAAGCGUAAAGAUAGGGGUGGUGUGGUGCUGGAGACUUGUAGACUGGAGUUGGUGGUGGAGGUGACUUGUAAACAGGAGUUGGUGGUGGUGGAGACAUAUAAACUGGUGCAGGAUGGUAUGGUGUUGGUGAAGGAUGGUAUGGCUUCACUGGUGGCGGUGGUGACUUGUAAACUGGUGCAGGAUGAUACGGUGUUGGUGAAGGGUGGUAUGGCUUCUUGGGUGGUGGUGGUGACUUGUAAACGGGAGCUGGUGGUGGUGGCGACUUGUAAACUGGUGUGUGUGGAGGGUAGUAUGGCUUCUUGGGUGGUGGUGGUGACUUGUAAACUGGAGUUGGUGGUGGUGGUGACUUGUAAACCGGGGUGUGUGGAGGGUAGUAUGGCUUCUUGGGUGGUGGUGGCGACUUGUAAACUGGAGUUGGUGGUGGUGGAGACUUAUAAACCGGGGUGUGUGGAGGGUAGUAUGGCUUCUUGGGUGGUGGUGGCGACUUGUAAACUGGAGUCGGUGGUGGUGGAGAUUUGUAAACAGGGGUGUGUGGAGGGUAGUAUGGUUUCUUGGGUGGCGGCGGUGACUUGUAAACCGGAGUUGGUGGUGGUGGCGACUUGUAAACUGGGGUGUGUGGAGGGUAGGAUGGCUUCUUGGGUGGUGGUGGUGACUUGUAAACGGGAGUUGGUGGUGGUGGCGACUUGUAAACCGGGGUGUGUGGAGGAUAGUGUGGCUUCUUGGGUGGUGGUGGUGACUUGUAAACUGGAGUUGGUGGUGGUGGAGAUUUAUAAACGGGUGCAGGAUGAUAUGGUGUUGGUGAAGGGUGGUAUGGCUUCUUAGGUGGCGGUGGAGACUUAUAUACAGGGUGGUGGGGUGGUGAUGGAUAGACAUGCACUGGUGGAAGAGGAGACUUGUAGAGGUAUGGUUUCUUAGG